RNAcentral lists this long non-coding RNA (706 nucleotides) under Danio rerio (zebrafish). Its description in RNAcentral is "si:ch211-63e8.2 (ENSDARG00000097291.2)". Lineage: Eukaryota; Metazoa; Chordata; Actinopteri; Cypriniformes; Danionidae. The record is from RNAcentral.
CCUAGUCAAGUCUUUAAAUUGCACUUUAAGGGGAAUUCCUGUGUCUCGCAAAAUAACUAAAAGAAGAUGACCUCUCAUCAUAGCAAAGACAAAAGAAAUCAGUCAUUGGAAAACAGUAAAAACCUCUGUUAAACAGAACUUGGUACUAUUUUAAAAAGAAUAACAAAACUCACAGAAGGGCUAAUAGCGUUGUCUUCAACUGUAAGUAAAUCAUAGUAUUAUAAUGCAGUUUUCAAUUCAAAUAAAUGAUUAUCAUUUAUUUGCAAUAUACAAAUCAUUACAGUAAUGACAACCAGAGGCAGUUAUUUAAUAGCAUUAAUGUCCCAAACAAAAAGUCCUGAUGGUGGCAGACUCAGACAGGUUUAGUGAGUUUCUGCAGAGCUGAUUAACAGUGGUUGAGUCCAGAUCAGGACAGCAGUGGAUUUCUUUCACAGCGCUAGUCGUCUUGCUGGUGUUGUGAAUAGAAACAGCAGUCUCAUCACAUAAGUAGUGUUUCCUCAGAGCGUCAGUGGAGAUUAAUGAGAGCUCAACCUCCCACCGGCCGGACCAGCAGGCCUCGCUCCGCUAAUCCAGGCCUAGCGCUAGUGCGGCUCAUCGCUCAGACACGAGAGGCUUUAGCACAAUCACGUUUUUGCCUCGUCGGCACAGUUUUGACCCACUAAACUCAUCUGCUUAUCUGUAAUCACGCUUUAUAAGCUCAGGAUGG